Molecule: ribosomal RNA, 992 nt
Filed under: Virgibacillus sp.
Lineage: Bacteria; Bacillati; Bacillota; Bacilli; Caryophanales; Bacillaceae
Description: bacterial SSU rRNA
Rfam family: Bacterial small subunit ribosomal RNA
Source: RNAcentral
UGCAUGCCUACACAUGCAGUCGAGCGCUGGAGAACGUCACGCUUGAUCCUCGUGUGCGGAGGUGACGGCUAGUGGAAGGAGCGGCGGAGGGGUGAGUAACACGUGGGCUACCUGCCUGUAGGACUGGGAUAACCCCGGGAAACCGGGGCUAAUACCGGAAAAUACUUUUCAUCAACUGAUGGGAAGUUGAAAGGUGGCUUUUAGCUACCACUUACCUAUGGGCCCGCGGCGCAGUAUCUAGUUGGUGAGGUAACGGCUCAGCAAGGCAACGAUACGUAGCCCACCUGAAAGGGUGAUCGGCCACACUGGGACUGAGACGCGGCCCAGACUCCUACUGGAGGCAGCAGUAGGGAAUCUUCCGCAAUGGACGAAAGUCUGACGGAGCAACUCCGCGUGAGUGAUGAAGGUUUUCGGAUCGUAAAGCUCUUUUGUUAGGGAAGAACAAGUGCCGUUCGAAUAGGGCGGCACCUUGACGGUACCUAACCAGAGGCCCCGGCUAACUACGGUGCCAUCGGCCGCGGUAAUACGUAAGGCGCAAGCGUUGUCCGGAAUUAUAGGGCGUAAAGCGCGCGCAGGCUGUCCUUUGAGUCUGAUGUGAAAGCCCACGGCUCAGCGUGGAGGGUCAUUGGAAACUGGAGGACUUGAGUACAGAAUAGGAGAGUGGAAUUCCACGUGUAGCGGUGAAAUGCGUAGAGAUGUGGAGGAACACCAGUGGCGAAGCGACUCUAUAGUCUGUAACUGACGCUGAGGCGCGGAAGCGUGCGGAGCGAACUGAUUAGAUACCCUGGUCGUCCACGCCGUAACGAUGAGUGCUAGUGUUAGGGGGGUUUCCGCCCCUUAGUGCUCAAGUUAAGCAUUAAGCACUCCGACCGGGGAGUACAGCCGCAGCGCUGAAACUCAAAAAAUUUGACGGGGGCCCGCAAAACGCUACUGGAGCAUGUACGUUUCACUUCGACGCACUGCGAAGCAGCGUUACCAGUCUUGACAUGCUG